This 497-nucleotide ribosomal RNA is filed under the name uncultured bacterium. Its description in RNAcentral is "bacterial SSU rRNA". It matches the Rfam family "Bacterial small subunit ribosomal RNA", at positions 28 to 507 of the family's 1533-position model. The record is from RNAcentral.
GACGAACGCUGGCGGCCUUUCUAAUACAUGCAAGUCGAGCGAAGUUUUAAAAGCUUGCUUUUGAAACUUAGCGGCGGACGGGUGAGUAACACGUGGGCAACCUGCCCUGUAGACUGGGAUAACUUCGGGAAACCGAAGCUAAUACCGGAUAAUCUUUGGAGCUUCAUGGCUCUAAAGUAAAAGUUGGGUUUACCUAACACUACAGGAUGGGCCCGCGUCGCAUUAGCUAGUUGGUAAGGUAACGGCUUACCAAGGCGACGAUGCGUAGCCGACCUGAGAGGGUGAUCGGCCACACUGGGACUGAGACACGGCCCAGACUCCUACGGGAGGCAGCAGUAGGGAAUCUUCCGCAAUGGACGAAAGUCUGACGGAGCAACGCCGCGUGAACGGUGAAGGCCUUCGGGUCGUAAAGUUCUGUUGUUAGGGAAGAACAAGUACCGUUCAAAUAGGGCGGUACCUUGACGGUACCUAACGAGAAAGCCACGGCUAACUACGUG